RNAcentral lists this transfer RNA (67 nucleotides) under Mesonemoura metafiligera. RNAcentral's name for it is "tRNA-Met". Lineage: Eukaryota; Metazoa; Arthropoda; Insecta; Plecoptera; Nemouridae. The record is from RNAcentral.
AGAAAGAUAAGCUAAGGAAGCUACUGGGUUCAUACCCCAUUUAUAGGGGCUAUCCCCCUUCUCUCUA